AACAAGGUUUCCGUAGGUGAACCUGCGGAAGGAUCAUUACCGAGUUCUCGGGCUUCGGCUCGAAUCUCCCACCCUUUGUGAACAUACCUCUGUUGCUUUGGCGGCUCUUUGCCGCGAGGAGGCCCUCGCGGGCCCCCCCGCGCGCUUUCUGCCAGAGGACCUUCAAACUCCAGUCAGUAAACGUCGACGUCUGAUAAACAAGUUAAUAAACUAAAACUUUCAACAACGGAUCUCUUGGUUCUGGCAUCGAUGAAGAACGCAGCGAAAUGCGAUAAGUAAUGUGAAUUGCAGAAUUCAGUGAAUCAUCGAAUCUUUGAACGCACAUUGCGCCCCCUGGCAUUCCGGGGGGCAUGCCUGUUCGAGCGUCAUUACAACCCUCAAGCUCUGCUUGGUAUUGGGCGCCGUCCUCUCUGCGGACGCGCCUUAAAGACCUCGGCGGUGGCUGUUCAGCCCUCAAGCGUAGUAGAAUACACCUCGCUUUGGAGCGGUUGGCGUCGCCCGCCGGACGAACCUUCUGAACUUUUCUCAAGGUUGACCUCGGAUCAGGUAGGGAUACCCGCUGAACUUAAGCAUAUCAAUAAGCGGAGGA
Molecule: ribosomal RNA, 589 nt
Filed under: Diplodia seriata
Lineage: Eukaryota; Fungi; Ascomycota; Dothideomycetes; Botryosphaeriales; Botryosphaeriaceae
Description: eukaryotic LSU rRNA
Rfam family: 5.8S ribosomal RNA (bases 215-368)
Source: RNAcentral